RNAcentral lists this transfer RNA (32 nucleotides) under Orobdella dolichopharynx. RNAcentral's name for it is "partial tRNA-Cys". The record is from RNAcentral. Lineage: Eukaryota; Metazoa; Annelida; Clitellata; Hirudinida; Orobdellidae.
AAAUUUAAAGGUAUAACUAUAUCAUUUUCUAU